This 482-nucleotide ribosomal RNA is filed under the name uncultured bacterium. RNAcentral describes it as "partial 16S ribosomal RNA". It matches the Rfam family "Bacterial small subunit ribosomal RNA", at positions 30 to 507 of the family's 1533-position model. The record is from RNAcentral.
AUUGAACGCUGGCGGCAUGCUUUACACAUGCAAGUCGAACGGUAACAGGCCGCAAGGUGCUGACGAGUGGUGAACGGGUGAGUAAUGCAUCGGAACGUGCCCAGUCGUGGGGGAUAACUACUCGAAAGAGUAGCUAAUACCGCAUACGAUCUAUGGAUGAAAGCGGGGGACCGUAAGGCCUCGCGCGAUUGGAGCGGCCGAUGUCAGAUUAGGUAGUUGGUGGGGUAAAGGCUCACCAAGCCAACGAUCUGUAGCUGGUCUGAGAGGACGACCAGCCACACUGGGACUGAGACACGGCCCAGACUCCUACGGGAGGCAGCAGUGGGGAAUUUUGGACAAUGGGCGCAAGCCUGAUCCAGCAAUGCCGCGUGCAGGAAGAAGGCCUUCGGGUUGUAAACUGCUUUUGUACUGAACGAAACGGCUCUGGUUAAUACCCGGGGCUAAUGACGGUACCGUAAGAAUAAGCACCGGCUAACUACGUG